Alligator mississippiensis (American alligator) is the source of this 3841-nucleotide long non-coding RNA. RefSeq lists it as uncharacterized. NCBI's taxonomy places the organism in Eukaryota, Metazoa, Chordata, Crocodylia, Alligatoridae. The record is from RefSeq and is a predicted model, not a curated record. The transcript is spliced from 2 exons.
AUCCCCACCCCUUUCCACUGAUUGGUAGGCUGCUUCCUGAUGACUGGUUUAUUCUCUUGUCUGUCAGCUGGCAGCUGCAUCGAUCAGGUCAACAAGCCCAGAAGAGAUUAUUUGGGGCAUGCGCUGAGCUGACAACAGUAACAUUUUACAAAGGUGUCACUGCAUAAAAAGUGGGAGUGAACAGCCCACUGUCAGCUCCACAAAGCUUUCUUGCGGAUGGAGAAAAAUAAAAAACUAUUUGCUCAAACAACCAGAACCCCAUUCAAUGCUGUGGAUGAUCUGAGAAAAAACUGGCAGAGCUGGGCAGAAGAUCACAUUGAUUAUCAGAAGAAGAACCCAUUCAGCAAUGAUGACAGACUUUUGUCCAAGCCUGUUCAUGCCUGCUGCAAAGGAGAUCCCACUUAUGGAAGACCCCCUGAAGGAUCUAAGACAGAGCAGAGAGGAAAAGAUGCCCACACGCAUGUGGGGAAGGAAGUGGAAGAGUUAUGCAUGAUCAUAAGAAGCAUUGGGGAGAAAGGGAAAGAUGGGAAUGUGAGGGUGAACUUCCAACGGUUGUUUGAAACAUAUGUGACUAUUUCCAAUAAGGUAGUGGGAAUUCUGCUGCGAGCAAGAAAACAUGGGCUGGUUCAGUUUGAAGGGGAAAUGCUCUGGCAAGGAAAAGAUGACAAUGUGAUCAUCACCUUACUUGAAUAAGGUUUUGCGACCUAAUGAAUGCCACUGCAUGUUUUCUUUCAGGAAAACAACAUCUAAAUGCCAUCUUGAAAGAGGUUUUUGUAACUAAACUUCAAACUAGCUAAUCACACAGGACAUGGGCAGGAAGGGAACGUUCAGUGAAGAGGCUGAAUAAUGCUUCCAUAGAAUGCCAGAAGAUAAGGAUGGAAAUAAGCAUAUGGACUGGCUGAUCCAUUGCUAUGCCAUUGGAUUGUUCUUUACAGUAUAUCAUCUGCUUUAUUUAGUCAGCUGUUAAAAAUCACUCCAGUGACGGGGUGUCUCUUGGGGUUCUGAGUAACAGAAGUUAAAAUUCUUGCUUUCGGUCUGCACUGGUUCUUAUGCUAACAAGUUUAGAAGUAUGCAGGGAGUAAAAUCUGCAUGGAAUGUAAGCAGAAAGCUAUUUUUUUUCAAAAUUGCACCUAUAGGGCAAUUUGGGUUGUUUUUACAUAUCAGGACUGUAGAUAUGAGUAUAGGGAAUAUCACAUACUACUUGAAAAAAUUAAUAGCUUAGUGCAAUAGAAUACUCCUUCAAUAGCCUGCAUAAUUACCAUGAGGGUACGAGUUACGUCUUAAAUAUGUUUUUAGGGUAGUACAUCAUUAUAUAGUAUAGGAAAGUCUAUUCCUAAUCAAUCUUCUCCACAACCAUUAGAUAUCUCUUUUUCUAUUCUUCCCAUUUUUGCACCUUGGAUAACUUCACUCUGAUUGUAUCUGUUCUGGCCACCUGAAACUUACCUCUCACCCAAGAAGUUUACAUAGCUAUGCAAAAACCCCUCCAAGCAACUUGAAGGUGUCGUUAAGAUAAAAUGGAUCCCCUUCAGGACAGGAGGCUGCCACAACAAAGGGAUUUGGAGGAGGACUUUAAGCAUAACCUUGGCCAAUGGUAAUAGCACUGAAUACCUUCACCUUUUCAAACUCCACUCCUCACAGAAGGGAGGACAAGAACCCUGAAGUGCCAAAUACAUAGCUACUUAAGCUACUGCUUAAGACAUGCCUCAUUUGGCUUAGGCAGAAAGCCAUAUUGAUUUAAGCUUUCGAUGCACCCUCUCAAAAGAAGAAAGGACAGUGUUUUGGUUCAAAAAUUCAACUGGAAGUUGAUGCAUAUGAAUUCCAUUCCUGGCUCUGCCAUGGACACCUUGGCCUUUUCUAUAUGAGAAAAAUCAAGACCUUUAACUUCCUGUGGAUGCAGUAACAUAAUUGAAGGCUAUAAAUUACUCAGGAACUCUAUUUAUACAUUUUCAACUAUUUAAAACUACACCUAGUUGGGAAUAAAAAUUUACUGUUGCCUGUGUACUUAGAGUCACACAAGAGUUGUGUCUAAAUCACUUAAUAGGUCUGUGCCUCAUUCCACCUGUAAAACAAUAGCAUUUCCUUACCUCAGAGGGAUGUUAUUUAUAUACAUUGAUAAAAGAGUCUUGAUAAGUGCAAUAGUUUAUCAUGCUAAUUACUGAUGCACAAAUAGCAAUUGGCAUCUGCAAAAGAGUGUUAAAGAGGAACAUUUUCAUUAAAUAUAUUAAUCAAAAUGCAAUAAUUUUCUAUUUUGAUUCAAUUUGAAACUGAGUUUCAUUUCAUAUGAUCAAAUUUAAAAUAAAUUGGCAUCCACUUUUACCAUUUCAUUUCCUCCCCUUCCAAAAGUGUUGGGGGAAUGUAAAAAAGGAAGGAAAGGGGAGAUGCCAGAAAUGCUAAAAUACUUCAUUUUGAAUGCAAAUGAAACAAGAUUUAUUUAGAUGCAUCAGAACAUUUCAAACAAGUAGAAAGCAUUUGAAAAUAUUUAUAUUGGUCAUUUUUGUCCAAGUAGCUCAGCAACCAAAUCUGCUAAUGAACUUCAUUAGAUUAAUAGAAGCUGGGCACGCAUAUUAUACAUAGAUUUCAUAGAGCAGAAAAAUGCUUUUCAAACUUACAGUAUGUAGCAUUUGGUAUGUCUAGCUUAAAUGCGUUAAAUCUAGUUGAUUCCUCCUUUGUGGCACUUGUAAAUCAAUCCUUUCAAGAAUAUGAUCAGGUAGUACAAGCAUUGAGGGGUAACUAAUGGAACACUGGUUAGCACUGUUGGGCAAAAAAAAUGUGGUAGGCUGCCCCUUUCAGAAACUGUAACACAAUGGAAAAGACCUUUUUGGAUUGCAGCAUCUGUAGCUUGUAUCAUCCCAAAAUGCAACUACAGCUUCUGUAGACAUAUUUGAAUCACCAGUAAGCUAUCAGUGAAGCUGCAGAAGCAUGUUUCAGGAGUUGCACACGUACCCAGGACCAGCGUUGGUCCUGGGUAGUUCCCACUGAAGUCUGUGCAGCUGUGGUUUGGUUAGAGCUAGGUUAAAGAUUUCAGCACCAGUUGCAGUAAUACCUCUAGAUACAGUGUAGACAGAGCAGGUAAGGUCCAAAGGACCAGAGAAAAGAAUUAGAUUAAGCUUUAGGAGAUAUGACCAUCUUAUUGCUUUCAGGGUCAUACACUGCUGUACAAAACCCAUUGAAAAGGGAGCUAUGAUUUUAAUGAGAUUUGAACAGCAAUAAAGCCAAAUUUACUAUUUGUAGAUUGUACACGUGCAACCCCUAAAGACAGGGUGUGGAAUGGUUAAAAGGAUGCAAGACUUGCCAUACUGGGUGGGAUCACAGGUCUACAAAUCCAGUAUUUUGCUUUCAGCAGUGACCAAAACUUGAUACUGCAAAAUAUAAUUAUAUAUAUAUAGUGCAGUAGGCCAGUGUGUUCAUGGAUAUGCUCAAGUGUAAAAAUUCCUUCCUCAAAUUGUUUAAACUAUCAGGAAGACAUCAUUUCUAGUACUAGUGCUUAGAACAGAAGACUAGGAGUUGGGAGAUCCAGAUUUUAAUCUCAGCACUAAUAUUUGUUUAUGCAAUUUACAGCAAGUUAUUUUAUUUUUCAUAGGAUUCCCCAUUUGUAAAACAGAGCCAUAACUCACCUUUGUAAAGCACUUUAAGAUCUUUAGAUUAAUAAUUAUGUAUCUUUUAUAUAAUUUAUGAUACUCAACCAACAUUGCCACUACCAAGAAAAAGUGAAAUCAUUUUCUAGAGUUUUUUCUUUUUGCCAAAAUUCAUGUUCAUGUGAAGGAUCAAUUUUGGUAUUUUAAAAAUUGUCAGAUUCAGGAAUGCAAGUUUGAAUAAUAAAAAACAUGCAUGCUUCCACUGA